AUUGAACGCUGGCGGCAGGCCUAACACAUGCAAGUCGAGCGGAUGAAGGGAGCUUGCUCCUGGAUCCAGCGGCGGACGGGUGAGUAAUGCCUAGGAAUCUGCCUGGUAGUGGGGGAUAACGUCCAGAAACGGGCGCUAAUACCGCAUACGUCCUGAGGGAGAAAGUGGGGGAUCUUCGGACCUCACGCUAUCAGAUGAGCCUAGGUCGGAUUAGCUAGUUGGUGGGGUAAAGGCCUACCAAGGCGACGAUCCGUAACUGGUCUGAGAGGAUGAUCAGUCACACGGGAACUGAGACACGGUCAAGACUCCUAAGGGAGGCAGCAGUGGGGAAUAUUGGACAAUGGGCGAAAGCCUGAUCCAGCCAUGCCGCGUGUGUGAAGAAGGUCUUCGGAUUGUAAAGCACUUUAAGUUGGGAGGAAGGGCAGUAAGUUAAUACCUUGCUGGUUUGACGUUACCAACAGAAGAAGCACCGGCUAACUUCGUG
This 484-nucleotide ribosomal RNA is filed under the name uncultured bacterium. RNAcentral describes it as "partial 16S ribosomal RNA". It matches the Rfam family "Bacterial small subunit ribosomal RNA", at positions 30 to 507 of the family's 1533-position model. The record is from RNAcentral.